AGGAUCCAACAAUAACAUUUUGCGUUUAUUUAACAAAGAAAUGCUUUUUGUUUACCAGGUCAAGCUUGGAGGGGGUAACUGAAAAGAGAAGAGGAAAAAGGAAUCAAGAGGAAAUAAUCAAUUGGGAAAUUUCAAAAGAUGGAAACUAUGAAGUCCAGAGGCAAUAAGUAACUUGAACAAGGGUAAGUGAAACAAGGAAAAAAGGACAAGAAAGGGUUUUGAUGUGUUUGUUUGGUGGCAAAAUAACUAAAGAGACAUAGUUAAGAUAGUUUCAUGGGAGGAUGAUGACCUCAAGGGGUUGGAACAAUAUUUUGUGACAUUAAAGGCACUAAAAGAGCUUCACCUUCCUCCAAACCCUUGGCUUCUCAUCCAACUAUCAAUAGAGUCCAUUUAUUAAGCUGAGGGC
This 406-nucleotide long non-coding RNA is filed under the name Monodelphis domestica (gray short-tailed opossum). RNAcentral's name for it is "lncRNA (ENSMODG00000036238.2)". The record is from RNAcentral. Lineage: Eukaryota; Metazoa; Chordata; Mammalia; Didelphimorphia; Didelphidae.